GGGGUUGUAGUUCAGUGGUAGAACACUUGCCUGGCAUGUGUGAGGCGUUGGGUUCAAUCCUCAGCACCA
RNAcentral lists this transfer RNA (69 nucleotides) under Ictidomys tridecemlineatus (thirteen-lined ground squirrel). Its description in RNAcentral is "Spermophilus tridecemlineatus (thirteen-lined ground squirrel) tRNA". It matches the Rfam family "tRNA". From Rfam's summary of the family: Transfer RNA (tRNA) molecules are approximately 80 nucleotides in length. Their secondary structure includes four short double-helical elements and three loops (D, anti-codon, and T loops). Lineage: Eukaryota; Metazoa; Chordata; Mammalia; Rodentia; Sciuridae. The record is from Rfam by way of RNAcentral.